Molecule: ribosomal RNA, 253 nt
Filed under: uncultured bacterium
Lineage: Bacteria
Description: partial 16S ribosomal RNA
Rfam family: Bacterial small subunit ribosomal RNA
Source: RNAcentral
UACGAAGGGGGCGAGCGUUGUUCGGAUUUACUGGGCGUAAAGGGCGCGUAGGCGGCCGAUCAAGUCAGGCGUGAAAGCCCCGGGCUCAACCUGGGAAUGGCGCUUGGGACUGGUUGGCUUGAGUUCGGGAGAGGAGAGUGGAAUUCCCAGUGUAGAGGUGAAAUUCGUAGAUAUUGGGAAGAACACCGGUGGCGAAGGCGGCUCUCUGGACCGAGACUGACGCUGAGGCGCGAAAGCGUGGGGAGCAAACGGG